AGGACGAACGCUGGCGGCGUGCUUAACACAUGCAAGUCGAGCGGAAAGGCCCUUCGGGGUACUCGAGCGGCGAACGGGUGAGUAACACGUGAGGAACCUGCCCCAGACUUUGGGAUAACCUUCGGAAACGGAGGCUAAUACCGGAUAUUACCUGUCAUCGCAUGGUGGUGGGUGAAAGUUUUUCGGUUUGGGAUGGUCUCGCGGCCUAUCAGCUUGUUGGUGGGGUAAUGGCCUACCAAGGCGACGACGGGUUA
RNAcentral lists this ribosomal RNA (254 nucleotides) under uncultured bacterium. RNAcentral's name for it is "partial small subunit ribosomal RNA". It matches the Rfam family "Bacterial small subunit ribosomal RNA", at positions 26 to 286 of the family's 1533-position model. The record is from RNAcentral.